GAUCAUGGCCCAGGAUGAACGCUAGCUACAGGCUUAACACAUGCAAGUCGAGGGGAAACGACAUCGAAAGCUUGCUUUUGAUGGGCGUCGACCGGCGCACGGGUGAGUAACGCGUAUCCAACCUGCCCGUCACUUGGGAAUAACCUUGCGAAAGUAAGACUAAUACCCAAUGAUAUCCCACGAAGGCAUCCGAAUGGGAUUAAAGAUUUAUCGGUGAUGGAUGGGGAUGCGUCUGAUUAGCUUG
This 244-nucleotide ribosomal RNA is filed under the name uncultured bacterium. RNAcentral's name for it is "partial 16S ribosomal RNA". It matches the Rfam family "Bacterial small subunit ribosomal RNA", at positions 15 to 248 of the family's 1533-position model. The record is from RNAcentral.